UUCAACUUGAGAGUUUGAUCCUGGCUCAGAACGAACGCUGGCGGCAGGCCUAACAC
RNAcentral lists this ribosomal RNA (56 nucleotides) under Paracoccus pantotrophus. RNAcentral's name for it is "16S rRNA. Bacterial SSU". Lineage: Bacteria; Pseudomonadati; Pseudomonadota; Alphaproteobacteria; Rhodobacterales; Paracoccaceae. The record is from RNAcentral.